Chlorocebus sabaeus (green monkey) is the source of this 6602-nucleotide non-coding RNA. NCBI's taxonomy places the organism in Eukaryota, Metazoa, Chordata, Mammalia, Primates, Cercopithecidae. The record is from RefSeq and is a predicted model, not a curated record.
CAAUUAAGCCUCCUUCCUUUAUAAAUUACCCAGUCUCGGGUAUGUCCUUAUAGCAGUGGGAGAAUGGACUAAUACACAAUCCCAUCUGCCCUGACAUAACCCUGGCACCCCUUUUAUAAGAGACCUGUAGAAGGCAUGUGGUGUCACAAAAAAGCAGGUUCAUUGGGUCAAGGAAAUGGUUUUACUUGUGUGUCUGCCACUUUCUAGGUGUAUGGCUUUGAUCCAAUAAUCGAAUCCCUGUUAGUUUCCUCAGUUGUACAUCAGGCUAACAAUGCCUACCUCACAGAAUUCAUGUGGAGAUUACAUGAGACAAGUCAGGAAAAACACCAAGCUUAAUAAAUGGUGCAGAGUAGACAUUCAAUCAAUAUUUGUUGAAUAAGUGAAUGCAUUAUAUAUAUAUGUAUAUAUAUAUUUCACUGUAUAUAUUUACUCAUUAGCUCUGGAGGGGUUUAUCUAGCUAGCUCUGCUCAGAAGACAAGAAUUUCACAUUUUUCAUCAGUUUUAGCUGAAACAUUCCAAUUUAGGAAACUGGGUCAAGCCAUAUCACUGUGCAUUAAUUAUAAGUUGUGAUUCCAGCAACCUGUAGAAAGAUGAGAAAAUGGUCCAGUACCUGCAGUUUUCCACAGCAACAAAUGUACCUCUGACAGUUUCCAUAAUCACCACCCUUUACAAUUGCUUGGGCCUGCAUUGUUUACAAAGAGCUGCUCACACCCAUGAUCACGUAUAACUCACCUUCAAGGAAGUUGAGUUAUUCCAUUUUGUAGUUGAAAAAAUUAAGGCUCCAAGAGGUGAAAGAACUUGCUUAGAUCAUGCCUGGUGGUUGGUGGCAGAAAAGCUGGAAUCUCUGGGAUGUGCCUAAAUUGAUUAUCACUACAGCAUGUGCUUGGUUACUUUGUUAAAGGCAUAAGGAUGAAUUCAAGGAGGAUCCUGCCCGGUGUUAUUUGCCCCUGGCUCCCCUGAACCCCUCAGGUAGAGGUUCUGAGGGUCCUAUCUAUAUAUUACAGCCUAUCCCUGUUCCAGAGCCAGUUUGGAAGGAGAAAGAGGAGAGAAGCAGCCUCAAUCCUCUAGACUUAUGGGGUCACAGGAACUAUUUCCAUAAUAUCAUUGCAUUCUGGGACCUGAUAGCCCAGCCAGGAUGCUGUCAUCUACUUGGAAGCCAUGGAGAUGUGGCCAGAUAACUUGGGUCAAGUCUGGCUCAGGGGUGGUGGUGUUUAUCUGGAGUGACAAGAUGUUACACAGGUGAGGAAAAAAACCUACUAUUGAUUUUUUUGUGAAGAGACAAAAACUGAGUGGUUAUGGCCACGUUGCCGACCUCGAGCAGCAGUUGGCUUCUUCAUGUAGAACCUGGGAGUAGGAGACUCAGAAUCGAAUCUCUUCUCCCUCCCCCUCCUGUUUUCAGCUUUGUGAGAAACCUUAUCAUCAAAUGCAAUGGCCAGCAACAUUACCAAUAAGACAGAUCCUCGCUCCAUGAACUCCUGUGUGUUCACUGGGAAUCUCAACACUCGUGUGGUCAAGAAAUCUGACGUGGAGGCAGUCUUUUUGAAGUAUGGCAAAAUUGUGGGCUGCGCUGUUCAUAAGGACUUUGCCUUUGUUCAAAAUUUUAAUGGGAGAAAUGCCCGGGCUGCUGGAGCAGGAGAGGAUGGCAGAAUGAUUGCUGGCCAGGUUUUAGAUAUUAACCUGGCUGUGGAGCCAAAAGUGAACUGAGGUAAAGCAGGUGUGAAACGAUCUGCAGCGGAGAUGUAUAGCUCCUCUUUUCAGUUGGACUGACUAUCAAGGUGAUGAUGAUGAUACGAUGUACAGUUACUCAGCACAUGUGCCACCUCCUCCUCCUAUUGCUCGUGUUGUAGUGCCCUGGAAACGUCAGCGUGUAUCAGGAAACAACUCACAAAGGGGCAAAAGUGGCUUCAGUUCUGAGAGUGGAGAGCGGGGAUCUUCCAAGUCUGGAAAGUUGAAAGGAGAUGACCUUUAGGCCAUUAUGAAGGAGUUGACCCAGAUAAAGCAAAACGUGGAUUCUCUCCUGGAAAACCUGGAAAAAAUGGAAAAGGAGCAGAGCAAACGAGCAGUAGAGAUGAGGAAUGAUGAGUCAGAAGAGGAGCAGAGCAGCAGCUCCGUGAAGAAAGAUGAGACUCACGUGAAGCUGGAGUCUGAAGGGGGUGCAGAUAACUCUGCUGAGGAGGAGGACGUACUGGGUGAUGAUGAUAAUGAGGAUGGGGAUGACCAGUUGGAGUUGAUCAAGGAUGAUGAAAACGAGGCUGAGGAAGGAGAGGGUGACAGAGACAGCACCAAUGGCAUGGAUGACUCUUAAGCACAUAGUGGGGUUUAGAAAUCUUAUCCCAUUAUUUCUUUACCUAGACGCUUGUCUAAGAUCAAAUUUUUCACCAGAUCCUCUCCCCUAGUAUCUUCAGCACACGCUCACUGUCCUCCCCAUCCUUGUCCUUCCCAUGUUUAUUAAUUCAUGUUGCCCUGUGCCUAGUCCUGUUUUCACUUCCUUUGGCACUCCUAGUAGUUUUGUUAAGUCUUACCUUGUAAUUUUUGCUUUUAAUUUUGAUACCUUUUUAUGACUUAAUAAAAAGGAUGUAUGGUUUUUAUCAAUUGUCUCCAAAAUAAUCUCUUGUUAUGCAGGGAGGACAGUUCUUUUCAUUCAUACAUAAUAAAUUCAAUAGUUGCUUCCCGAACUGCAAAGACAAUCUUAUUUAGUUGAGUAGCUCCUAAAAGAAGCUUUGAUUAGAAGUAUGUGUGUUACACCCCCACAUUAAUGUGCUGUGUGGGGCAGUUCAACACAAAUGUAACAAUGUAUUUUUGCGAAUGAGAGUUGGCAUGUCAAAUGCAUCGUCUAGAAAAAUAAUUGGUGUUAUAGUCUUAAGAUUUGUUUUCUAAAGUUGAUACUGUGUGUUAUUUUUGUGAACAGCCUGAUGUUUGGGAUCUUUUUUUCCUCAAAAUAAAUAGAUCCUUAUUAAACUAGGAAUUUGGAGGGAAAAAAACCCUGUUUUUUUAAAUUUUUGUAUUGUAUUAUUGUUUUCUUCAAGCUCUUUGUUUUACAGAGUCCUCCACAAAACCCCUAGAAUGUACUAGAUAUAUUUUUCUUGAAGUCAUAAUCAUUAUGCAUACAAACAUAACGCUACUCAAAUUCUAUUUCAUUGAGAUGCAUGUUGCAUUGAGGAGUCAAAUAACUUGACAGAGAGUGGAGAUUGUUUUUCAAAAUGGCUUUUACAUCCUAAUGAAAGUUUGGGAAGUAUAUCCUCUCUGCCUUUUCAUCAGUGCUUUGUGGUCCAGCUGGCACCCUUUUUGAAGUUUUUGUUGUGUGCUAAAUUGUUUUGUCCUUAAAUAGGAGAGGCUCAAAAACAUUAAGAUUUCAGGAAAAUUGCAACAGCUGGAGAAUGGAACUCCUACUUUCUUCUGUUUUGUCUUUUUAAUUACUACUUAUAGCCCCAGUUACCUUCUGAACUCUGAAGUGUUACCUCAAUGUUACUGAAAACAAGUAAACUUUUAUUUCCUGAUAUUCCAUAGUCUGCCUUCCCAGGUGACUGAAAACAUAGAGAAUGUCACACAUUUAUUUUACCCUAAAUAAUCUUUUACUCAUAUUAGCUAAUCUUUGUGUUUUCUCUCAACUUUAUUGAUUGCAGUGAUUGCAUUUUUAGCAUCCAGUCUUCUUAAGAUGAAUAUAUUAAGCAGCUGCCAAUGUUGUAAUACCUCAUCCUUGAAAGGCCUAGUUCAUUUGUGUUUUUACUUCAGUUUUUCCAGCACAGCAGAAAAUGACAUUUAUAAUUUUUGUGCACACAAACCGUGGAUUCCCCUAUAAAGUUUCUAUUGUUUCAUAGCAUGCAGCACUGGCAUUUUUUCAUCCUACUGCAUUACGGGCAAAAUUCAUGUCUUAUUUAUAAGGAUUUUAUAGAUCAUUUUAUGUAACAGGUGACAAAAGCAGAAUAGAAGAGGCUGAACUAUGGACUACCUUUGGAGCCAAGAUACAUGAUAUAAAGGCACUUUCUUUUGUAUGUUAAUCGGUCAAAAAUACUACCCACUUGAUGUUUUCUGAUCUGAUGUGGGGAAUAUGGGCGAGGAGAGAAGCUCAUGUUACACAGACUUUUAGUAAGUAACCCAUGACUAGAAAAUAAACGGGAUACUUAAGAAAAAGAAAAACAAAAAAAACCCUACUGUUUGUUCAGUGCCCCCUAUGUGCUGUCCCUACACUAUCCAUAAUCCCCACAGCAUCUUGUGAUACUAUUACUAUUCUUUGUACUGAUGAUGGAACAGAAGAUUGGAGAGUGACAUCUUACACAGCAUCUCAAAGCUGGCAGUGGUCCAACGGUUCCAGUCCAGGUCUGUGUACUAUGAUCUCACACUUUUCUCAUCAAGGGGACUAAGGGGCUCCUGUAACAAGACUAACUCUAGUAUCCUCUAUCUUUCUGGGGAGAGCUCAGUCACAGACUUUGAUCACUACUGCUACUGGGAAGGUAGGAAUUAAGCACAAUGCUCUGUUUGGAUCCAGUAACUGAAUUAUACUCAACUAUUGGAUUCCCACAGAGUGUCUGUGCAGGUGGAACAGGGCCUUCCUCCCCUACCCUAUGCAUGUGCAGAAGGAGAGGCCUGACAGGGGGAACCAGGCUGGAGUUUGGAACACCAGUAGCUGUAAAGACCACCUGGGGACUCUGCAUGAGACUCAGCAUCUGCUGCCUCUGGGGCCAGGGGUUAUGGUCUUCUUCUUCCCUAAAGGCUGCCACACUAACCUGGCUUACUCCUUCCUCUUCCUCCCUGGGGGAAGGGAGGAUCUGAUAAAACUGAUGAGAUUGAAAAAAGAGCCUGAAGUUGGACCCAUCAGCCCCUCCCAAGUGCUUUCCCCUUUGGCCCUCAUGCAUGUGAGCACAAGUUUUCCUCCUGUCCUCUGUCUCUCUGAUGCUGUGGCCUGUUAGGGACAAGCCUGUGGUUUUGGGUGGGUAAACCCAAUUCAGGGAAAUGUAUUGGGGAACCCAAUUGCAGCUGCAGAUCCAAGGUGCCUUUUCCAGUUUAGCUUUACCUGCUAUGAAGUGGACUCUGGUGACCGCUGUUUCACAUUGCUUGGAGCCCACUGUGGAAAGAGGAUGGAUAGACUUCCAUCUCAGUGGUUGCCCUGAAAUGCCAAUGUGGGGAAUCUGGGCGAGGAGAGAAGUAACCAGAGGGGGCAUACCGGCAUGCCUUCACCGUGUAGUUGUUUCUGCUGUCCCAAGCUGGAUGGACACUCCUGAGAUACGUUGCUACUUGCUCCCCUGCUCCCCAUGCCCUCAAUGUUUUAUAGAUCCCAGGGCACUUGGCACACCUGGAUUGAGGCCCCAACCUACCUGUCCAAGCUCCUCUCCCCCAUGCUCUGACCUGCCUAGUCAGCUCUAGCACAACACCCUGAAUAUCCCACUCAGUUCCAACAUCUGUGGCACCCUUCUGCUGGCAAUGCUGAGGGUUAAGUUGGAGAACCUGGCAAGAACCUUAGAGGCCAUGAUGCUCAACUCUCCAUCCAGAGAAGGGGCUAUCUGGACUUGGCUUUCUUGUCUUGCUUCUUGGAGCAACCACUCCUGGGACUUGGUAUUUCUGGUUCUUCUAAAACAUUUCUUUAGACUAGAAAUCUGCCUCCUUGCUACUUAUGUCUGGUGCAGGUGCUGUGGGUGCCACCUCCACACAUUCCCGGCAGUCCUCCCCAGGUACUUGUUCCCUCUCUGGUUCCCUGUGCCAUAGUAAUUAGAUGGUGUUUCAUCAUUCCAUGACAUGAAACAAGUGUUGCUAACUUUUUCCUUCCCUCUCUUGACACCUGCCUUAACCUCUCAAGUAGUUCAGAACUCCUUGAGGCUGGGGCUAUGCUCCAGCCAUCUCUUUACUCCUCCCACUUAGCACAGAGGAGGUUUCAGGAAAGCCUACACAAUUGUCUGGGCCCAACAUCUUGCCCAUCUCCCAACAUUUCAACAUGGAACUGAAGGGGUGGCUUGUGCAAAUGGCCCCAUUUGCUCAUUGCCCACUGAGUAUCCAUGGGUCAACCUGGAACUUAAGUUGCUCACCACCUAAAGGAGGAAACUGACAUGCAAGCAGAAAAUCAAAAUACAGGGCAACCUCACUAGAAAGGAGGCCUAUAGAGAAUGCUGCAGGAACAUAGGAAGGAACAAUCAGUAGACCAGUGAUAGGGUGAGCUGGGCCCAGAAAAACUGAGCCUGGAAGGAGGGGCAGGAGUAGCUCAUUGACAUGGCCUCAAACGUGGCCUUUUAUCUCCAAUCGUUAGACAGCUACAGAGGUACAUGGACAGUUUUGAAAGAAGGUCAUCAUCAUAUGACUAUAAACUACUGUUCCAUACUUAGGGUGACCAGCUUGUCCUGGUUCACCCAGGACUUUUCUGAUUUUAGCACCAAGUCCCUUCAAUCCCAAGCAGAUCGGGGUGGAUGGUCACUUAGACCUAAGUCUGGAAUGGUAGUAUGAGUUAUUAUAUGCUAUAAAUCCUUUCAUUAUCUUCAGACCGGCACAAUUAAAUUGUAUCAUAAUGUUUUUGUGCCAAUAGCAUUAGUGGGUUAGUGGCAAACAUUUAAAAUUUGUUGUCCCCUCUCUUUUUUUUUGAGACAGAAUCUCUCUCUGUCACCCAUGCAGCGGCAUGA